Nomascus leucogenys (northern white-cheeked gibbon) is the source of this 848-nucleotide long non-coding RNA. RefSeq lists it as uncharacterized. The transcript has 3 exons. NCBI's taxonomy places the organism in Eukaryota, Metazoa, Chordata, Mammalia, Primates, Hylobatidae. The record is from RefSeq and is a predicted model, not a curated record.
GAUAACCUCCUAACAUAGAUCCCUGAGUUGUUUUUCAGAAACAUGGAUGCCCAGCAAAUGAAUCCACUGGCACCUAGACCUCAGGAGGGCUUGCUAAUUGAAGUUGAAGCAUCAGAUGUCCUGAAAGCACUCAAACUCAUCAGAAGUGGAAUUUGUCUCUUCACCCUUUGAAUCUGGCCUAGCACCUGAGCCCUGCUUUGAUGAAAAGAAUGCAGUAGGAGCAGCACUGUGGACCCCAUGAAGCUUCUCAGUGUCCAUUUUCGUCCCUUUGGAACACUGCCCAAGACUGCCACGUGAAGAAUCCCAGUCUAGCCUGGUGGAGGAGGAGAGGGUAGUGGGACUACAUGAGCCAACCCAUCUGAGGCCUUUUAAAUCAGCCAGCUGACAGCUAGCAUCUACCAUCUACCAGUGGAGGGCAUCUUAAACUUGCCAGCCCCAGUCAAGCCACCAUAUUAUUGUAGCCACUGAGUGAGCCCAGGCAAGACCAGCAGAAGAUUUGUCGCCCAGUUGAGUCCAGCCCAAAUUGUUGACCCACAGAAUCAUGAGCAAAAAUAACGACCAUUGUAAACCACUAAAUUUUGGGGGUGGCUUAUUAUGCAGCAGAAACUAAAUUAUACAGGAGGUUAUCCCAGGAAGCACAAGUGAGGAAAUAAGGGAAGUAAGACAGAGAAAGGAGGAGAGUUAAUAAGGGGUACUCUAAGGAGCAGGUUAUUACUGUGGGCAAUUGAAGCUAAAUCCUGCUGGAUACCCUCUGAAGAGUCCUGUAGAAGGCAUCUUAGAACAGUCUCUCCACAGAAAGAGAAACCAGAUUACUCACCCAAUAAUUCCUUACCCUACACCUCACUGGC